Molecule: long non-coding RNA, 781 nt
Organism: Octopus bimaculoides (California two-spot octopus)
Lineage: Eukaryota; Metazoa; Mollusca; Cephalopoda; Octopoda; Octopodidae
Source: RefSeq, a predicted model, not a curated record
CACAAAGUCCUUUAGCAUAGGCAUGUUAAAGGAUCCGUAGAGCAGAACCCGAUAUUACAAGGAACUUGAUGCCAGCUACGUGACAAAGAGAAGAUUUAUAUAAAGAAGACCUGAAAACUUAAGUAUGGAAAAGUACACUACUAAACAGCGAACACAUAUUGUGAAAUUUUAUCAUCAACACCAAGAAUCAAUAAUUCGGACUCAACAAGCAUAUCGUCGUCAUUAUGGCACAAUGAAUUGUCCAAAUGAAUCAAUGGUCAUGUGAUUAAUUGGUCGUUUUGAGAAUCAAGGAUCAGUAAGUGACCUUCCAAGAAUAGGUUUGGGAUGACUACAGAAAAAGUGAUAGGACUUCAUUUCUUCGAAAAUAUGGAUGGAGACACCGUUAUUAUCACUAGAGACGGAUACCACUCUAUGAUCCAGAAUUUCUUACGUCCAGCAGUUCAAGAUAUGCCUGGUAUGUAGUUUCAGCAGGAUGGAGCCACAGCUCACACGGCAAGCAAAACAAUGGAAAUGCUCAUGCAAAUUCUUGAUAGAAAUAAAUUUAUCGAUUUUCAGAGAUAAAUUGGCCAUCUCGUUCUUCAGAUCUAACCGCUCCAGACAUUUUUCUAUUGGACUAUCGUAAGAAAAAACGUUUAUGUCAACAAGCCUCAAACAACUGCAGAUCUUAAAAAUAAACAUUAGAACAGAAAUUAGCUCGCUGGAGCCACAAACGUAAAGGGCUGUUAUGGAAAACGCCAUAGAAAGAGCACGUUUAUGUAAAUUGGAAAAUGGACGCCAUUUA